Long non-coding RNA from Chrysemys picta bellii (western painted turtle), 1820 nucleotides. RefSeq lists it as uncharacterized. The record is from RefSeq and is a predicted model, not a curated record. Lineage: Eukaryota; Metazoa; Chordata; Testudines; Emydidae.
GUAACGACUUAUAUAAAACAAGCCCUUCCUGCAAGAGCACGCGCCGCUACGGACAAAGCAAGGUUUACUAGCAGUUUAUAGCAUUCAAAUGAAAAUGCAGAGACAGGUGCCUGCCAACUUGAGCUGGGCUCCUCCAGUUCAGACACUCUGGACUCAAGAGCCCAUAUUGUGUCUCUGAUGGCCAUGACCUGCUUGCCCGGUGCAGACAUAUACACCAUCUGCUCUCAAGACCAAGAAGGGAAGAGAAUUUCAGAGUCAAGGACCCCUCAAAGAGAACAGGCUCUUUCUCUUCUACGGUGAAGGAGAUCCAUCUUCAAUUGUGCAUUAUGGAAAAAAGAAUGGGGCAGUCCUGCAGGGACAUGGGUCCCAAACUAUUUAAGACAUCCAACAUAAAAACUAUGAAGUGUUGUUGUAGCCAUGCUGAUCCUAGGAUAUUAGCAAGACAAGGCGGGUGAUGUAAUAACUUUUAUUGGACCAAGAGAUACAAGAGAUUUUUUCAGCUGCUCUAUUCUAUAUCAGGAAUACAGCAUUAAGAACAUUGCCUCUCCACCACUAGCUGACACAAGGAAAAAUUGAAAUUAAACUUAUUUAAAUUAGUAAAAAUGGAUUGGUGAUAGUGAAUCUUAAUAUUAAGAUGCAUAUAAAUGUGUAAUUGUUUAUAGUUAUAAUGAUUUAAUAAUUAAUAAAUUCAUUUUUAAGUGGUUACAGCUAGGAAUAACAAGAUGGUGAUUUUGGAAUAAUUCAGCCUAUAGGAAACAGGCAGGUUAAGGUGAGAUAAAGGUCACUCCAAAACCUGAAGGGAGGGGCUAGUCAAGCCUGGCACAGGUUUUCAAUCGGGUCUGGGUUUGAUUGACAGAUGAAUUCACCAGCUGUGAUUGGUUCAUAAGAACAGAUCAAUCAGGGAAGCCUUUAAGAUGAUUGGUGGAUUGGUAUGCUAAUGAUAAGGAUCGAGGAAAUAACCAAUCAGAAUAGGCCAAAACCUGUAUAUAAGGUAGAGAGCUGACAGGCUUGAGUCAGUCAAGAUGAGACCAGGUGGAGAAAUAGGAGAAGAAGUUGGAAGAUCAGAAAAGAGUUGAAAUCGCUGAAGAAGGAAAGAGCUGCAGCAGCAACAGCUAAGAAGUAUCUGUGACAGAUGAAAAGGACUGCAGACAGAUCAGAGGGAAAAAAGACUGUAAAAAAGUAACAUGACAACCAUAGUACAGAGAACCAAUAGGAUUUAUGAGUGUAUCUCUCUGAGAUAAUAAAGUUGGAUGUUUGUGUAUAUAUGUUUGUUACUAUGUAUACAAUUUAAAUGUUUAAGUAAGAACUGGCAGACAGCAUUCUCCAUGUGACUGAUCACUGCAUGUAGAAUGUAACCACUUAAGAGCUGUUCCCAACUGUAUGGUAUUACAGUACUGGGUACUUUGAUAUGCAUACUUGUGCUAAUGGGAUUUGUAUUUUGUUUCUUGAUAAUAUGCUUUUAAGGUUUAUUGUAUCAAGGAAUAUUGGUAUAUUGAACAAAGAUUAUUUUGUUUUUGAAGAAUUACUGCCUGAUUGUUAAUUCUUCAAUCAGAAAGCUGUAUCCAGGUCUUCCCCAAGGGUCAACAGAAUUAGUCUAUCCUGGGGAAGUUUUCCAAAAGUCAGAGGGAAGAAAACCUUAGUAAAACUUCAAGGGCAGUCCACCCCCUUUCACCUAUCAAAACAGACAGAAAGGGGGAUAGUUAUUCAGGGGGACCAGAGUGAGCUACAGAUAAUCACUGGUGGUGUCUGAAUAAAUUAGGUCUGCCAAGGUUACCAUCAAGGGAGGGUAAGAUUUUAGGAAAGACAGACAUAGGUGUAUA